UACGAAGGGGGCUAGCGUUGCUCGGAAUCACUGGGCGUAAAGGGUGCGUAGGCGGGUCUUUAAGUCAGGGGUGAAAUCCUGGAGCUCAACUCCAGAACUGCCUUUGAUACUGAAGAUCUUGAGUGCGGGAGAGGUGAGUGGAACUGCGAGUGUAGAGGUGAAAUUCGUAGAUAUUCGGAAGAACACCAGUGGCGAAGGCGGCUCACUGGCCCGGUACUGACGCUGAGAUACGAAAGCGUGGGGAGCAAACAGG
RNAcentral lists this ribosomal RNA (253 nucleotides) under uncultured bacterium. Its description in RNAcentral is "partial 16S ribosomal RNA". It matches the Rfam family "Bacterial small subunit ribosomal RNA", at positions 524 to 776 of the family's 1533-position model. The record is from RNAcentral.